AGUCGGUACGCGUUGUGAUAAGAACGAGGAACGCGGCCCUUCGCUCGCUGAUUUGACAGUUCUUGGAAUUAAAGGUUCGGUUCGACGCGAAAUUACGCGCAUUUCGUCGCGUCAUUUGAUAACCGCUUAACGAGAAAAUAAGAGGCUGCUCGUGUUUUCGUCGAAAGAGAAGCGUCGUUUCGUGUUGCGUGGCGUGGCGUCGGGCACAGUGCAGUUUUCUUCGCGUCGAUUAAUUUCCGCUAGCUUGGACACUGCCACUUUAUUACUCCUCUCGCCAGCCAGGGAACAGGGCUCGAGUAACUCUUCCGUGCUUGGGAUUUCUCCAGCUCGUUUUGCACCUACACACGUUCAACAGGAGGACAGCUUGCCCAGCCACGAGGUACCCAUUAUUGCCCGCUCGACGACGCCCGCGCGACCACGCGCGAUUUAUCGCCACGUGUGUUUUAUUGGUUUCCCCUGCUACCAUCGACGUUCACUGGGUUUCCGGCAACCGUGGUUAAACGCCUGAAGGCUCGAAAC
RNAcentral lists this unclassified non-coding RNA (519 nucleotides) under Bombus terrestris (buff-tailed bumblebee). RNAcentral describes it as "misc RNA ENSBTSG00005020144.1". Lineage: Eukaryota; Metazoa; Arthropoda; Insecta; Hymenoptera; Apidae. The record is from RNAcentral.